GGUGUGUAUGGGGUGGAGUGAGGGUGUGUGUGAGGGUGUGGUACGUCAAAGUGUGUGUUUAUGUCCUGGUGGCACGCAGCAGCCGUCUGCACAUAAAUAGGAGCACGUCGAUGGAACUUUCCCCAGGAACUAGGAACCUUUGGAGGAACUCUAUGCGAGUGAUUCUCUGACCAGUUUCAGUGGUGGCCCUGUCAGCAGUCCACAUGGUGGAGAUGUGCCGUCAGAAAUCUCCUCUCUCCCUCCUCGCCUCUCUGACUGCUUAAAACCCUGGAGGAAAAGCUUGUACGAACCAGCCAGACUAUCAGACUCCAAGAGCACCGGGACCCCCCCCCACCCCACCCCAAACCCUCAUCAUUUCCCCCCUCCACAUGAGUCAAAGAGCCCUUCUUCUCCAUGCCAGCUGACUGCAGGAGCAAAGAGAGGAGAGUGGCCUGGGGAGUGCAGGGGGGCAGGGCAGUUUCGGGGGUGUGUUGGGGGUGGAUCAUAGAGGGGGACGUGAUAGAGGAGAGAGAUGAUUAUAAACUGAUCUCUGUUGUGCUGUACACUCGCUGACUAAUCACCUGCACUGAACAGCGACUGUCCAAUCACAGCUUAGCAACCGUAACUAGGCACGGCAGGCCUGUCAAACUUCGGACUUCUCUGCAUGCUGCUGAAACAGUGUGCAUGGGGCUUUAAUAAGAGCGAUACUCGGCAUUCAAAGAGUUUGGAUAAUGGUGUCUUUUUACAAAACCAAAGCACAAAAGGAAGAGUGAAAUCCUGUAACGGGAUUAAACUGUGUUUAUCUGCUAAGCUGUAAAUGUAAGCAGAUCUGCAUUACGAGCUUACCACCCACAACAGUAGUAACCUAACCCUCAUUCCAAUAGAUGACUACAUUUGGUGAGGUUACAGUUUGUAUUAAAAAGAAAGCCUCGUUCAUGAUGUUAGGAAGCUCCCUCAUUAACUCUUAUGUGGUGUAUGUUGUAAGUUGCAGGGUUCUCGCAUUUAACUGGGUGGUGUUGUAAUGUACAGUAUCUGUGCUUAAAUGUUGAACUAUGAGAGAGAAAAGAGUCGAACUAGCACUGUACUGGGUUGCUUGAAAAACAAAAAUGUUCCCUCCCUUUGGAUCUGUUAUAAAAAUGGCUAACCAAACUAAUAUUAACUGAGUUAGCUGGUUAGCCACAGCUAAUAAAAUCAUUUCAGCUGGCAAACUUGACAGUCGCUGAGCUAAAAAUAAGAAGCUGCUUUUGUCUACCUCUGUGAAAUCAAGGACACACACUUUAAAUACAAGGAAUUUCAAAGGUAAAUCUGCCACCAUUAAUGCUAUAAACUAUGGCAUUAAAGUUUGACAGGCACAGCAACAGGAAGUGAAGGACCUGAUUAGGAUUUUUUCCUACAAAAAUGUGAAAAAAAUGUAUUUAUUCUCUCAAUUAUUGCACAAUAUUUGGUCUACUGCGAUUCAUUGAGUAACAGCACAACAAGAAGCUGCAAUAAAAUA
Lates calcarifer (barramundi perch) is the source of this 1474-nucleotide long non-coding RNA. RefSeq lists it as uncharacterized. The record is from RefSeq and is a predicted model, not a curated record. NCBI's taxonomy places the organism in Eukaryota, Metazoa, Chordata, Actinopteri, Centropomidae. The transcript is spliced from 3 exons.